AUAACUGAAAGGCGAUUUCGUGC
Molecule: non-coding RNA, 23 nt
Filed under: Arabidopsis thaliana (thale cress)
Lineage: Eukaryota; Viridiplantae; Streptophyta; Magnoliopsida; Brassicales; Brassicaceae
Source: RNAcentral